UACGUAGGGGGCAAGCGUUGUCCGGAUUUAUUGGGCGUAAAGAGCGUGUAGGCGGCCAAGCAGGUCAGCUGUGAAAACUCGAGGCUCAACCUCGAGACGUCGGUUGAAACCGUAUGGCUAGAGUCCGGAAGAGGAGAGUGGAAUUCCCGGUGUAGCGGUGAAAUGCGCAGAUAUCGGGAAGAACACCCGUGGCGAAGGCGGCUCUCUGGGACGGUACUGACGCUGAGACGCGAAAGCGUGGGGAGCGAACAGG
This 253-nucleotide ribosomal RNA is filed under the name uncultured bacterium. RNAcentral describes it as "partial 16S ribosomal RNA". It matches the Rfam family "Bacterial small subunit ribosomal RNA", at positions 524 to 776 of the family's 1533-position model. The record is from RNAcentral.